This 2891-nucleotide ribosomal RNA is filed under the name Vibrio parahaemolyticus. The record is from RNAcentral. Lineage: Bacteria; Pseudomonadati; Pseudomonadota; Gammaproteobacteria; Vibrionales; Vibrionaceae.
GAAAAAUUAGCGGAUGACUUGUGGCUAGGGGUGAAAGGCCAAUCAAACCUGGAGAUAGCUGGUUCUCCCCGAAAGCUAUUUAGGUAGCGCCUCGGACGAAUACUACUGGGGGUAGAGCACUGUUAAGGCUAGGGGGUCAUCCCGACUUACCAACCCUUUGCAAACUCCGAAUACCAGUAAGUACUAUCCGGGAGACACACGGCGGGUGCUAACGUCCGUCGUGGAGAGGGAAACAACCCAGACCGCCAGCUAAGGUCCCAAAUUACUACUAAGUGGGAAACGAUGUGGGAAGGCUCAGACAGCCAGGAUGUUGGCUUAGAAGCAGCCAUCAUUUAAAGAAAGCGUAAUAGCUCACUGGUCGAGUCGGCCUGCGCGGAAGAUGUAACGGGGCUAAGUAGUAAACCGAAGCUGCGGCAAUGUGCUUUUGCACAUUGGGUAGGGGAGCGUUCUGUAAGCGGUUGAAGGUGUGUGGUAACGCAUGCUGGACGUAUCAGAAGUGCGAAUGCUGACAUGAGUAACGAUAAAGGGGGUGAAAAACCUCCUCGCCGGAAGACCAAGGGUUCCUGUCCAACGUUAAUCGGGGCAGGGUAAGUCGACCCCUAAGGCGAGGCCGAAAGGCGUAGUCGAUGGGAAACGGGUUAAUAUUCCCGUACUUCUUACAAUUGCGAUGGGGGGACGGAGAAGGCUAGGUGGGCCUGGCGACGGUUGUCCAGGUUCAAGUGCGUAGGCUUAAGAGUUAGGUAAAUCCGGCUCUUUCUAAGGCUGAGACACGACGUCGAGCACCUACGGGUGUGAAGUCAUUGAUGCCAUGCUUCCAGGAAAAGCCUCUAAGCUUCAGAUUGUAAGGAAUCGUACCCCAAACCGACACAGGUGGUCGGGUAGAGAAUACCAAGGCGCUUGAGAGAACUCGGGUGAAGGAACUAGGCAAAAUGGUACCGUAACUUCGGGAGAAGGUACGCUCUCGACGGUGAAGUCCCUUGCGGAUGGAGCUAUUGAGAGUCGCAGAUACCAGGUGGCUGCAACUGUUUAUUAAAAACACAGCACUGUGCAAAAUCGUAAGAUGACGUAUACGGUGUGACGCCUGCCCGGUGCCGGAAGGUUAAUUGAUGGGGUUAGACUUCGGUCGAAGCUCUUGAUCGAAGCCCCGGUAAACGGCGGCCGUAACUAUAACGGUCCUAAGGUAGCGAAAUUCCUUGUCGGGUAAGUUCCGACCUGCACGAAUGGCGUAAUGAUGGCCACGCUGUCUCCACCCGAGACUCAGUGAAAUUGAAAUCGCUGUGAAGAUGCAGUGUACCCGCGGCUAGACGGAAAGACCCCGUGAACCUUUACUACAGCUUGGCACUGAACAUUGACCCUACAUGUGUAGGAUAGGUGGGAGGCUUUGAAGCACGUACGCCAGUAUGUGUGGAGCCGUCCUUGAAAUACCACCCUUGUAGUGUUGAUGUUCUAACGUCGACCCCUAAUCGGGGUUGCGGACAGUGCCUGGUGGGUAGUUUGACUGGGGCGGUCUCCUCCCAAAGAGUAACGGAGGAGCACGAAGGUGGGCUAAUCACGGUUGGACAUCGUGAGGUUAGUGCAAUGGCAUAAGCCCGCUUGACUGCGAGAAUGACAAUUCGAGCAGGUGCGAAAGCAGGUCAUAGUGAUCCGGUGGUUCUGAAUGGAAGGGCCAUCGCUCAACGGAUAAAAGGUACUCCGGGGAUAACAGGCUGAUACCGCCCAAGAGUUCAUAUCGACGGCGGUGUUUGGCACCUCGAUGUCGGCUCAUCACAUCCUGGGGCUGAAGUCGGUCCCAAGGGUAUGGCUGUUCGCCAUUUAAAGUGGUACGCGAGCUGGGUUUAGAACGUCGUGAGACAGUUCGGUCCCUAUCUGCCGUGGGCGUUGGAAGAUUGAAGGGGGCUGCUCCUAGUACGAGAGGACCGGAGUGGACGAACCUCUGGUGUUCGGGUUGUGUCGCCAGACGCAUUGCCCGGUAGCUAAGUUCGGAAUCGAUAACCGCUGAAAGCAUCUAAGCGGGAAGCGAGCCCUGAGAUGAGUCUUCCCUGAUACUUUAAGUAUCCUAAAGGGUUGUCGGAGACUACGACGUUGAUAGGUCAGGUGUGUAAGUGCUGUGAGGCAUUGAGCUAACUGAUACUAAUUGCCCGUGAGGCUUAACCAUACAACACCCAAGGGGUUUUGAUGGACUCAAAGCAAGAACAGAAUUGAAUGUGUAGAGAACACAGAAACAGCUUUCCGAAUUAAAGAAUUUGCUUGGCGACCAUAGCGUUUUGGACCCACCUGACUCCAUUCCGAACUCAGAAGUGAAACGAAAUAGCGCCGAUGGUAGUGUGGGGUUUCCCCAUGUGAGAGUAGGACAUCGCCAGGCUUUAAAUAUCGUUACCCGUACUGCGUGUAACAACAUCUUCAGUGUACUAAUCUGAUGAUGACAAUUUGUGGAGAGAUGGCUGAGUGGUUGAAAGCACCGGUCUUGAAAACCGGCAUACGUUAAUAGCGUAUCUAGGGUUCAAAUCCCUAUCUCUCCGCCACUAUACAGAAAGCCUGCAAAGAAAUUUUCAGGCUUUCGUCAUGUUUGACGUUUGAAAAUUAGAUGGGGUUUGUAUUUAAUCCCAAGUCGGCCGUGACCCUGACUCUCAGUACAAUUAAGAAGCCUCGCUAGAAAUAGCGAGGCUUUUUUUAUUUCAGCGCAAACUGGAAAUGAUAGAGGUUUAGCAAAUCCCCGGUUGAGAUCCCCUUCAAGCUAGGCGCUCUUGUUCUAAUAUUCAGCACACAAUCACUCAAUACAAGGUUUGUUCUUAAAUGAAUGAUCUUUAGCAUACAGAUGUUCCAUUAAAGCUUUCGAACCUACUAAAGUGACGCUUUCUAAAGCAGCAAGACUUAAACGCUGUGAGAUUGAG